This is a small nuclear RNA of Lynx canadensis (Canada lynx), 103 nucleotides long. The record is from Ensembl. Lineage: Eukaryota; Metazoa; Chordata; Mammalia; Carnivora; Felidae.
GCACUCGCUUUGGCAGCACAUAUACUAAAAUUUGAAUAAUACAAAGAUUAGUGUGGUCCCUGCACAAGGAUGACACACAAAUUUGUGAGCAUUCCACAUUUUU